RNAcentral lists this ribosomal RNA (253 nucleotides) under uncultured Acidobacteriota bacterium. RNAcentral's name for it is "uncultured Acidobacteria bacterium partial 16S ribosomal RNA". It matches the Rfam family "Bacterial small subunit ribosomal RNA", at positions 524 to 776 of the family's 1533-position model. The record is from RNAcentral. Lineage: Bacteria; Pseudomonadati; Acidobacteriota.
UACAGAGGUGGCAAGCGUUGUUCGGAAUUACUGGGCGUAAAGGGCGCGUAGGCGGUUCGAUAAGUCUUGCGUGAAAUCCCCCGGCUCAACUGGGGAACUGCGCGGGAAACUGUCGGGCUUGAGUUCGGGAGAGGGAAGCGGAAUUCCGGGUGUAGCGGUGAAAUGCGUAGAUAUCCGGAGGAACACCGGUGGCGAAGGCGGCUUCCUGGACCGAUACUGACGCUGAGGCGCGAAAGCCAGGGGAGCAAACGGG